GACGUUGUGUCAGAGUGGUUAAUGAGGUCGCCUGCUAAGCGAUUCCCUUCGGGGGCGCAGGUUCAAGUCCUGCCAACGUCU
Molecule: transfer RNA, 81 nt
Filed under: Pseudomonadota bacterium
Lineage: Bacteria; Pseudomonadati; Pseudomonadota
Description: Proteobacteria bacterium (activated sludge metagenome) tRNA-Ser
Rfam family: tRNA
About the family: Transfer RNA (tRNA) molecules are approximately 80 nucleotides in length.
Source: RNAcentral